This 204-nucleotide long non-coding RNA is filed under the name Mustela putorius furo (domestic ferret). RNAcentral describes it as "lncRNA (ENSMPUG00000027326.1)". The record is from RNAcentral. Lineage: Eukaryota; Metazoa; Chordata; Mammalia; Carnivora; Mustelidae.
GCUUACCCUUCCUUUACCGAAUGUCCCUUAAACAGCCUAAAGUAGGAAAAUAAGAAAACACAGUCCCUGGCAUGGAGGAAAUUCAUGAUUGCACCUACAAAUCCCUAAACAGAAUGGUGAGAGCACACAGUAGAAGGCUGAGAAGAAAUGAUGAGUCCUUGUGCCCCAUGGGGUAAGCCUGGUGUUGCCAGGACUUCUGAUUUU